RNAcentral lists this non-coding RNA (28 nucleotides) under Homo sapiens (human). The record is from RNAcentral. Lineage: Eukaryota; Metazoa; Chordata; Mammalia; Primates; Hominidae.
UCUCUGGAAUGGUUGGGGCUGUAUGUGU